GGGCCUCUAGCUCAAUGGUAGAGCAGUUGACUCUUAAUCAACCGGUUCGGGGUUCGAGUCCCCGGGGGCUCACCA
RNAcentral lists this transfer RNA (75 nucleotides) under Dehalococcoidia bacterium. RNAcentral describes it as "tRNA-Lys". It matches the Rfam family "tRNA". Rfam says of the family: Transfer RNA (tRNA) molecules are approximately 80 nucleotides in length. Their secondary structure includes four short double-helical elements and three loops (D, anti-codon, and T loops). Lineage: Bacteria; Bacillati; Chloroflexota; Dehalococcoidia. The record is from RNAcentral.